GCCUUUAUGCGUCGUCCCGCUUCCUCUCCUCUACUCUGCGAGCCUCCACUCUCUCUCGUUCGCCCUCUUCUCUCUUCUGCUCUACCAAGCUAGGGUUGGAAAACCCCUCCUCUUGCAACAGACGAUACCACCAGUGGCAUCAUAUAUAUCAGAGCUCUCUAUUGAAUCUGAAGCAGCACGAGCUGUUCAAGAUACAAAAGUUCUUGGAGCAUCAAGAAUUCUAAUUCCAGAAACGGAUUCUCUACUAGCAUAUCAAGUAGUUGAUGAGAUCCAGAUUAGGUGAAUAUGAAUAGCCCGACCCAGUGGUUUCAGUUACUUACAAACCCCUUACCUUCGCUAUGCUUACCCCUUACCUUCGCUAUGCUUAGGUCGAUUGCUCACUGCAUUUCCUCUCACCCUCUAUUCACAACUACUCAAUACCCAAUUGCACUUUCAGAUUCAGUAACAAAAUAAUGGUGGGGAGUCCAAGGCUCAAUCCUAGAAACUUUUUGUUGAGAGUCAUCGCAAUCUUGCACUUUUGCCUAUAAACGUGGUGGCACCAUCCUUGGUACUUCAAGAGGAGGUUAUGACACCACCAAAAUAGUUGAUAGCAUUCAAGACUAAGGGAUUAAUCAGGUCUACAUAAGAGGAGGAGAUGGGACACAAACAGGAGCAUCUGUAAUAUAUAAGGAAAUUGAGAGACGUGGUUUGAAAGUGUCGGUUGCUGGAAUCCCCAAGACUGUCGAUAAUGAUAUCGCUGUUAUAGACAAGUCUUUUGGUUUUGACACUGCUGUAGAAGAAGCUCAGAGAGCCAUCAAUGCAGCACAUGUGGAAGCUGGAAGAAUUGACAAUGGUCUGGGUAUUGUGAAUCUAAUGGGUCAUUACUGUGGAUUCAUUGCCAUGUAUGCAACUCUAGCAAGCAGGGAUGUGGACUGUUGCUUGAUUCCUGAAUCUCCAUUUUACCUAGAGAGAGAAGGGGGCUUGUUUGACUUCAUAGAAAAGCAACUGAAAGAAAAUGGUCACAUGGUCAUUGUGUUAGUAGAAGGUGCAGGGCAAGAGCUUGUUGCCAAAUCCAUGCGGGCAGUUGAUCAAACUGAUGCAUCUGGGAUUCAGUUACUCCUUGACGUUGGGCUAUGGCAUGCUCAAAAUGUCAAACAUUAUCUAUUUGUCCAUUGCUCAUCGAUCUCGAAGUCGUGGGCCUGUAAGUUACUCUAAUCUUUUGAGGGCACUAAGAUACUAAAAUAUGACUUGUCUAGAAAUAUUGCAAUUGAUUUGUAUUUCAAAUCAUUUUCUGUCUUUAUUUUCAUCACUAAUUUUCUCUUUUUAACAUGAACCAUCUCUAUUUUUCAAGCAUCUAUAUAUGUUGGUGCGAAUGUUUAAAUGUGUGUUUGCAUAUGUAUUUGUGCAUGUGAGAUGAUGCUUGGGAGUGUGUAGGGGGGUCAUAGCAUGCAGGUGUAUAUGUCCAUGUGUACAAGUAUUGUCCUGUGCAGUCAGAUGACUGUUUCUUGUUUGGAUUAAUAUUAACAAGCAUAUUGAGCUCAGACAAGCUUUGAAGACUCUUAGUACAUGACAGCAGAAGUACACGAAAGUAGAAGUACACGUCACAUGGAGAAGUUCAUCACACAUUCAGUUUCAUUCUCAGAUAUCAAUAAAACUUAUUCAGUUUCAUUCUCAGAUAUCAAUAAAACUUUUGAAUACAUGCUCAAAGGGGAUAACUUUCGCUAUAUCAUUCGAAUGGGAGACUAAAACUUGAGAAAGCAAAAAGAAAUAAAUUAAUUGUUGGUGAUAGAGUCAGCUCAAUUGGAUUACCUUUUUUGAAGCUUCAUUUAUAUCUAGUUUUUUUCUAUUUCAUGAGGUGUUUAACUUCCUUGUAUCUUUUCAAUUGUUUGGAAAUGAUUGUAAUUGGUUAUUGCUUAAUUAAUGGUAAUAUCUUGUGAAUGAAAUUC
Non-coding RNA from Amborella trichopoda, 1925 nucleotides. NCBI's taxonomy places the organism in Eukaryota, Viridiplantae, Streptophyta, Magnoliopsida, Amborellales, Amborellaceae. The record is from RefSeq and is a predicted model, not a curated record.